Molecule: ribosomal RNA, 424 nt
Filed under: Verrucomicrobiota bacterium
Lineage: Bacteria; Pseudomonadati; Verrucomicrobiota
Description: Verrucomicrobia bacterium partial 16S ribosomal RNA
Rfam family: Bacterial small subunit ribosomal RNA
Source: RNAcentral
UGAGGAAUAUUGGUCAAUGGGCGAGAGCCUGAACCAGCCAAGUAGCGUGCAGGAUGACGGCCCUAUGGGUUGUAAACUGCUUUUAUAUGGGAAUAAAGUGAGGGACGUGUCCCUUAUUGCAUGUACCAUAUGAAUAAGGACCGGCUAAUUCCGUGCCAGCAGCCGCGGUAAUACGGAAGGUCCAGGCGUUAUCCGGAUUUAUUGGGUUUAAAGGGAGCGUAGGCUGUUUGUUAAGCGUGUUGUGAAAUGUAAGAGCUCAACUUUUAGAUUGCAGCGCGAACUGGCAGACUUGAGUGCGCACAACGUAGGCGGAAUUCAUGGUGUAGCGGUGAAAUGCUUAGAUAUCAUGACGAACUCCGAUUGCGCAGGCAGCUUACUGUAGCAUAACUGACGCUGAUGCUCGAAAGUGCGGGUAUCAAACAGG